Long non-coding RNA from Etheostoma spectabile (orangethroat darter), 108 nucleotides. RefSeq lists it as uncharacterized. NCBI's taxonomy places the organism in Eukaryota, Metazoa, Chordata, Actinopteri, Perciformes, Percidae. The transcript is spliced from 3 exons. The record is from RefSeq and is a predicted model, not a curated record.
AUUUGACAAAAUAAAACCUACAUGUUCCUUUUUACAUGUUGUGAUGUGUAAAGUCACAGCGUGUACAAAUAACAGGGUCACAUGAGACACAGCCAUCAUCUAACCGUA